Tympanuchus pallidicinctus (lesser prairie-chicken) is the source of this 1593-nucleotide long non-coding RNA. RefSeq lists it as uncharacterized. The transcript is spliced from 2 exons. Lineage: Eukaryota; Metazoa; Chordata; Aves; Galliformes; Phasianidae. The record is from RefSeq and is a predicted model, not a curated record.
UUGCAGCCCAGGUCUCAUAGUCUUACUGUGAAGUAGGCAGUUAUUCUUCAUUUCUGUGUACUCCAAGUCUGUGAUGAUGUGUGUUAGCCUCUUAAAGCAAAAAUGUCUCAAAGUUCAGGAGAAAACUGGGGCUCAAAGAGCCCAACUGCUGCUUCAGGAUGAAGAUGAGCAGGGCAGUGAGAAUGUGGCCAAGCUAUGUCAUCAGAAGUAAGGACAGCCCCCUGGAAGCACAGCCUCCACUCUUGGGACAUGCCAAGAGAUCCCACCAGUUCCAGCAGCAGGGAACCAGCAGCCUCAAACUGGGCUGGAAAACCUUUUUUUGAGUUACUUAACCAUUCUUCUGUAAAGCAGUCGUUGCUUCUCUUUGCCAUACAAAUGUUCCUGCAUGUGUUUGUGAUGGUAGAGUCAGUCGUUUUUGGAGAAAGAUGGAAGUGUGAUCUCAGAAGCUGGGCUCAGUUACCUGGGUAGUUUUCUUGGCUUCCAUGAAUGUGUCCAGAAGCUGGUGAGCUUGGGAAAGAUUUUUUUUGUGUGCUUGGGUAAGGCAGUUUUUAAAUGUCAAAGUUGAAAGUACUUUUCCUUAGCAAAAAAAAAUCGGCAGCAAGCUGUUCAGUACUGGCUGAGCAGGCAACCAUCUGAGCAGCUGGGCUGACUGCAUGGCAUUCUGCAGGAGAUUUUCAGGGUUUUGAAGGCAGACCCAUCUCCAUGUCGUAUCUCCUUUGAGAUACAACAGCCUUUGAGCUGUUUGUGUCAGAACUGUUUGCUUACUUAAUUUUAAAACGGUCACAUCCACAUAGACAGAGGGAUUGCCACAUCAUGAUACUCUGGAAGUGUCCUUUGGCACUUGAUUUACAGCAGCUAAAUAGCAAGGGGGUCAGUGGCCAGCUGGCCACCAAAGCAGGAAACCGGAUGACAACGAGAAUAAAUAGUGUUUCAUGGAGCUGGAGUAUCUGACAGUGCUAGAAGCUGGAAGGACAGAUCAGCAUCCAGGAUAUUUGCUGUGGGACAGGUUCUCAGAUGGCUGCUGAGCUGCGUGCCAGCAGGGGUGGCAGUGGGAGCAAACAGCACAUGCGUUCGUAUCCCUCCCCACACACAUCCACGGGCCCUGCAGAAGCGUUGCAUUGCACAGGCAGAUGAGGAUUUCUGUUGAGGAUGGGAGGAGUGACUGAUGGAGUUUUACAGAAGGGGCGUUUCUGCAGGUUUCCAAAGAAUGAGAAACAGCCAUCCUUGGACAAAUCUCUGGGAGAAGCAGCGUUUGGGAAAUCCCCAGGGUUGGUAGCCGAAGUGAUGGAUGUGAUCAGAGUCUUGGUGGGAAAAUCAACAGCACUGUACUGCUGGAGAACUCAGCUGAACUGUAAUGAAGAACUGUCCCUUCUAGAGCCUGCACGGCGAUGAACGGACGCAUCAGCUGUUUGAAGAGUUUGCCUUCUGCAAAGAGAUCUGCAAAUUCACACUGUUGGGGCUGGGUAUGGCUCUGGUAAUGGGAGCUGUGAGAGCAAGCUGUGUUUCCCUGGGAGAUGGACACCUGUCAUUUUCACAGGGCAGAAGUAUGCAGGCUUAUGGCACAGAAUACAACAUUAAAAAACCUGUUCUCUG